UACGUAGGGUGCAAGCGUUAAUCGGAAUUACUGGGCGUAAAGCGUGCGCAGGCGGUUAUAUAAGCCAGAUGUGAAAUCCCCGGGCUCAACCUGGGAACUGCAUUUGUGACUGUAGAGCUGGAGUACGGCAGAGGGGGAUGGAAUUCCGCGUGUAGCAGUGAAAUGCGUAGAUAUGCGGAGGAACACCGAUGGCGAAGGCAAUCCCCUGGGCCUGUACUGACGCUCAUGCACGAAAGCGUGGGGAGCAAACAGG
This 253-nucleotide ribosomal RNA is filed under the name uncultured bacterium. RNAcentral describes it as "partial 16S ribosomal RNA". It matches the Rfam family "Bacterial small subunit ribosomal RNA", at positions 524 to 776 of the family's 1533-position model. The record is from RNAcentral.